UUCUCUUUCUAGAGCCUAAAUGCUUCUCUAUCUCAGUCCGUAACUCGCGCUGAACUGGUUGAUAAGCCUAAUUAAGAAGAAGAAACUCUCGCCGUAAAUCAUUGCUGAUUUCCUUCGUCUUUGCCUCAAUAAUAGUAGCAACGAGAUUCGAAUCUUCUAUCCAUCUUCAGAAAAGUUUCAAUUAUUGGGAAUUAGCUCAGGAUUUUGUUGCUAAAAAUCCUUGGUAUAUUAUUAAGAUUUUGAUUAAUUUUUGUGGAAGCCCUAAGAAUGGUGAUGUUAUUUUCGUAUCUAUUUGCACAAGGCUCCAAAAGAGUAGAAUUAGUUGGAUGGAUUUGUGAUACCGUCAGCAUUGUUGUCUUUGCUGCUCCUUUAAGCACAAGGUCAAUCAAAAUGAAUUUGGAACAACAGUUCUCAGUUUAAAGCUUAAAAUUUGAAAGAUUCGACGCGCGUGGAGGCCGAUUCGAGGGGCAAAGGUGUCG
Nicotiana attenuata is the source of this 479-nucleotide long non-coding RNA. RefSeq lists it as uncharacterized. The record is from RefSeq and is a predicted model, not a curated record. The transcript is spliced from 4 exons. Lineage: Eukaryota; Viridiplantae; Streptophyta; Magnoliopsida; Solanales; Solanaceae.